CGGAGUGGAGUGGCCUAGCCGCGGGAGGGGAAGGGUUGCUAGUGUUAGGCCUAGCUGGGUAGUGCGGUUGAGCGUGAGGCGAGAAAGAAGAAGCGAUCCUCCAAGGGUGAGAACGGAAGAUCUGCCGAAGAUAACAACCUCCCUUGUGGCCAAAGGGCGGGGGAUCCCCCCCACACGAGGGCUCCGUUUCGAGAGACGGCGACAAAGGAAAGUUCGUAGCGCGUUCCGGAGGCCCGGCCGCGUCUGAGAAGGGAGACGCUGCUGGGUCCGCUAAGCUGGGCGACCCGAGCUUAUAUAGAAUUGGUCAUAGGAUCACAACUUCUGAGGUCCCAGCAAGAGUCCUAACAUCUAGCAGCUCUACCACCAGGACAGGCCCCCUAAAACUAAUUCCAACAAGCACCUCUGAAGUCUUCUCAUUCACAGGUUAAGGCUACCUUUCCAGAUAGUCCAACAGCUAAAUCACCAGUUUCCAAGGGCAUUUACGUCACCUAUGGAAAGCAUCGGAUCCUCUUACACCAGAUGUUCUUGACAGCUCAUCCCAUCAGUCCCCACUGCACAAAAGUUGCUAUACCAGCGGACAACCAAGACAACUACUGAGCUUCUUUUCGUUGUCAAGUAGAUAUAAUAUCACUGCCAGCAAAACAGCACAAAAAGUGUCUCUUCACAGUACCACUACCAAUUGGGACUAUGCUAAGUAAAUCAGCUUGCCUAGAUGAGGACCCCUUGUAUUCUUGGGUAGCCAGGAUUUGAAGGAGAUACUCUGACCUGUGCCACUGGAAGCCACUGGAGGAUGUGCUUCACCGAAAUGAGGGAUUAAUCUGAGAAGGAUGGGAUCCUGAAACUAAAAGAUGUCACAAAGGAAAAUGAAGAAAGUCCCAGGAUAACUACUGUGUCAAGUAAGUUGGACGGAGGUUCCAGGAAGUCGGUCUCUAGGAAAACUGCGAACAAAGUAUUUGAGUACAAUGGAAAGUGUAUAAAUGAGCAAGAAAUUUGAAAUUUUAUUUCUUAGAAAGUAUGUUAUUUAGUAACCAGAGUUUUAAAAUUUGACAUUAAAAGUAUAGUCAAAUUGGAGUCUUGUCAGCUAUAAUUAGAUUGGUCCUUAUGGCAUAAUACUCCACAGUUUUCUGUAGAUGCUGACCUUCAUUAAGAUGUGCACCGCAGAAGAUAUUUCUAGAAAAUAAAGUUUUUCAAUUUGUUUUUGUAUUUUAUUUGCUUAGGCAAAUCUCAAUUUUGUAUUUAUUUACAGAAAUAAUGCAUGGUCUAUAGCAGUAAUUUCAGCGAGCUUUUUGUUUAAAUUUUAGCCUCUGUAGAAUCAAAAGCAUGAAGAAUUACAGGUUGAGCAUUCCUAAUCCAAAAAUUCAAAAUCUGAAAUGCUCCAAAAUCCAAAACUUUUUGAGUGCCAAGAUGACACCACAAGUGGAGAAUUUCACACCUGACCUCAUGUGACAGGUCAUCAAAACAAAGGCACACAAUACAUAGUUUAUUAAAACUAUUGUAUGAAAUUACCUUCAAGCUACGUAUAUAUGAAACAUGAAUGAAUUUCAUGUUUAGACUUCCCAUCCCAAAGAUAUCUCACUAUGUAUACGUAAAUAUUCCAAAAUCUGAAAAAAUUAAAUCCAAAGCACUUCUGUUCCCACACAUUUCAGAUAAGGGAUAUGCAACCUGUAUCUACGUUUUAAAAAUAAUAUUCUGAAAUUCGAUAUUGUUUUUCAUCUUCCAUGCUAUUUUUGCUAUCAAGAUAUAGUUAUAUACAGUGGCUGGUCCAUAAUAUAUUCCUAUAUAAUAUUUUAGAUGUUUCCUUAUGAGUUAUGGUUCAGGGUUUUUUUCUAUGCUUUGUUUAUAUUAAUAUUACAUAAUCUCAGAAUGAAUUUUUAUUUACUUGCAAGUGAUAUGUAUGCUGAUAGGUUUUUCUCUCUGUCAUCAAAUCUAUUGAGUAAACCACGCCAGGCCAAUUUGUCCAUCUCCUUUUUUCUAAGUAAGAAAUAACAUAUAUACAGUAAAUAGAGUGCACUAAUCAUAAGUGUACUUGAUUUUUUAAAAUAUGUAUACAUUCAUAUCAAGAUCAUAUAAAAAUACAUACACUCAGACCAAAGUAUUAAAAAUUUCAAAUUCUCUUGUGCCCUUUCCUAGUCUAUACAGCUCCCAGAAAUAACUACUCUUUUCUAAAGAUCUAUUAGUUUUGCUUGUUCUCAGAAUUCAUGUGAAUGGAAUCAUACUGUAUAUAUUGUUUUAUGCCUGUCUUCUUUCAUCAAUGUACUUGUUCUUUUUUUAUUGUUAUAGACUAUUUGAUUACAUGAAUAUAUCAUUAUUUGUUUAUCCUUUUACCUAUUGACAUUCACGUUAUUUCCAACUUUUUGUUAUUAUGAAUAAACCUAUAAUAAACAUUC
Cercocebus atys (sooty mangabey) is the source of this 2387-nucleotide RNA transcript. It is a transcript of the gene named DDB1 and CUL4 associated factor 16, with no coding region annotated. The transcript is spliced from 4 exons. Lineage: Eukaryota; Metazoa; Chordata; Mammalia; Primates; Cercopithecidae. The record is from RefSeq and is a predicted model, not a curated record.